RNAcentral lists this ribosomal RNA (506 nucleotides) under uncultured bacterium. RNAcentral describes it as "partial 16S ribosomal RNA". It matches the Rfam family "Bacterial small subunit ribosomal RNA", at positions 30 to 523 of the family's 1533-position model. The record is from RNAcentral.
AUUGAACGCUGGCGGUAUGCUUAACACAUGCAAGUCGAACGGCAGCAUGGUCUAGCUUGCUAGACUGAUGGCGAGUGGCGGACGGGUGAGUAACGCGUAGGAAUAUGCCUUGAAGAGUGGGACAACUUGGGGAAACUCAAGCUAAUACCGCAUGUACUCGAGGGAGUAAAGCUGGGGACCUUUAGGCCUGGCGCUUUAAGAUUAGCCUGCGUCCGAUUAGCUAGUUGGUAGGGUAAAGGCCUACCAAGGCGACGAUCGGUAGCUGCUCUGAGAGGAUUAUUAGCCACACUGGACAUGCGAGGCGCGCCAGACUCCUACGGGGGGCAGCAGUGGGGAAUAUUGGAAAAUGGGGGGAACCCUGAUCCAGCAAUAGCUCGUGUCUGAAGAAGGCCUGAGGGGUGUAAAGCACUUUCAGUAGGGAGGAGGUUUGGAAGGGUAAGAGCUAGUCAAAUGGACGUUACCCACAGAAGAAGCACCGGCUAACUCCGUGCCAGCCGCCGCCGUAA